ACGAACGCUGGCGGCGUGCUUAACACAUGCAAGUCGCACGGUGAAGGGAUCAGCUUGCUGGUUCUGGAUGAGUGGCGAACGGGUGAGUAACACGUGAGUAACCUGCCCCCUUCUUCUGGAUAACCGCAUGAAAGUGUGGCUAAUACGGGAUAUUCUGCGCCUGCUGCAUGGUGGGUGUGGGAAAGAUAUUGUUUCGGUGGGGGAUGGGCUCGCGGCCUAUCAGCUUGUUGGUGGGGUGAUGGCCUACCAAGGCGGUGACGGGUAGCCGGCCUGAGAGGGUGGACGGUCACACUGGGACUGAGACACGGCCCAGACUCCUACGGGAGGCAGCAGUGGGGAAUAUUGCACAAUGGGCGCAAGCCUGAUGCAGCGACGCCGCGUGAGGGAUGGAGGCCUUCGGGUUGUGAACCUCUUUCGCCAGUGAAGCAGGCCUGUCCCUUGUGGGUGGGUUGACGGUAGCUGGAGAAGAAGCGCCGGCUAACUACGUG
This 488-nucleotide ribosomal RNA is filed under the name uncultured bacterium. Its description in RNAcentral is "partial 16S ribosomal RNA". It matches the Rfam family "Bacterial small subunit ribosomal RNA", at positions 29 to 507 of the family's 1533-position model. The record is from RNAcentral.